GGGCAGGUACUCAAGUGGUCAACGAGGGCAGACUGUAAAUCUGCUGCGUCAGCUUCGAGGGUUCGAAUCCUUCCCUGCCCACCA
Molecule: transfer RNA, 84 nt
Filed under: hydrothermal vent metagenome
Description: tRNA-Tyr-GTA
Rfam family: tRNA
About the family: Transfer RNA (tRNA) molecules are approximately 80 nucleotides in length. Their secondary structure includes four short double-helical elements and three loops (D, anti-codon, and T loops). Further hydrogen bonds mediate the characteristic L-shaped molecular structure. tRNAs have two regions of fundamental functional importance: the anti-codon, which is responsible for specific mRNA codon recognition, and the 3' end, to which the tRNAs corresponding amino acid is attached (by aminoacyl-tRNA synthetases). tRNAs cope with the degeneracy of the genetic code in two manners: having more than one tRNA (with a specific anti-codon) for a particular amino acid; and 'wobble' base-pairing, i.e. permitting non-standard base-pairing at the 3rd anti-codon position.
Source: RNAcentral